This 1158-nucleotide long non-coding RNA is filed under the name Sus scrofa (pig). RNAcentral describes it as "lncRNA (ENSSSCG00065065540.1)". Lineage: Eukaryota; Metazoa; Chordata; Mammalia; Artiodactyla; Suidae. The record is from RNAcentral.
UAUGGAGGUUCCCAGGCAAGGGGUUGAAUCGGAGCUGUGGCCGCCGGCUUACACCAGAGCCACAGCAACACCAGAUCCAGUCUGCGACCUACACCACCACUCACGGCAAUGCCAGAUCCUUAACCCACUGAGCGAGGCCAGGGAUUGAACCCACAACCUCAUGGUUCCUAGUCAGAUUCGUUAACCCCUGUGCCACGACGGGAACUCCACUUUUCACACGUUGGGGGAUUAAGAUGGCAGAAUAGAAGGACUGGAGCUCAACUUCUCUCCUAAAAUCAACAAAAUUUACAACCAAAUGCUGAGCAAUCUUCAACAAAAUGGACCUGAAACUUUCAAAAGAUAUCCUACUCCAAAAGACAAAGACGAGGCCACAUCAAGAGCUAGGAGGGGUGAUUACGUGAUAUAAGCAACCCCAUACCUCCUGGGUGGGAAGCCUCACAGACUGGAAAGUAACUGGUUCACAGAGACUCACCUACAGGAGUGAGAGUUCUGAGCCCCACAUCAAACUCCCACCUGUGAGCAUCUGGCACUGGGACAAAAAGCCCCUGGCGUAUCUGGCAUUGAAGGCCAGUGGGGCUUGUGUGCAGGAGCUCCACAGGACUGGGGGAAAUGGAGACCCCAUUCUUAAAGGGCACAGAGAAUUUCAUGUGCACUGGGUCCCAGGGCAAAGCAAAGACUCCAUAGGAAGCUGGGUAAAACCUGACUGCAGUUCUUGGAGGACCUCCUGAGAAAAUAGGGGUGAAUGUGGCUUGUUGUGGGGGAAGGACAAUGGAAGCAAAGCUCUUAGGAAUAUUCAGCAGCCAUGCCUUUCUCUGGAGGUGGCCAUUUUGGGAAAAUCUGGCCCCACCCAUCAGCACUGAGAAGCCCCAGGGCAAACAACAAUCCAGGUGAGAUCACAGCCCUGCCCCUCAGUAAAUAGGCUGCCUAAAGACCCCCCAGGCACGGAGCCCCCCUAAUCCCAUCCAGAGACAAAGCCCCACCCACCAGAGGGAUAGGAAUCAGUUCCACCUACCAGUGGGCAGGCAUCAGUUCCUCCCAUCAGGAAGCCUACAACAAGCCCCCAUACCAACUUCAGCCACAAGGGGAGCAGACACCAGAAGGAAGAGAGGCUACAACUCUAGUACCUGUAAAAAGGUCACUACACAAAAACCUAUAAAA